UACGGGGGGGGCAAGCGUUGUUCGGAAUUACUGGGCGUAAAGGGCUCGUAGGCGGCCAACUAAGUCAGACGUGAAAUCCCUCGGCUUAACCGGGGAACUGCAUCUGAUACUGGAUGGCUUGAGUUCGGAAGAGGGAUGCGGAAUUCCAGGUGUAGCGGUGAAAUGCGUAGAUAUCUGAAGGAACAUCAGUGGCGAAAGCGACUUCCUGGACCAAUACUGACGCUCAUGUGCGAAAGCGUGGGGAGCAAACAGG
Molecule: ribosomal RNA, 253 nt
Filed under: uncultured bacterium
Lineage: Bacteria
Description: partial 16S ribosomal RNA
Rfam family: Bacterial small subunit ribosomal RNA
Source: RNAcentral